GAUGAAGAACGCAGCGAAAUGCGAUAAGUAAUGUAAAUUGCAGAAUUCAGUGAAUCAUCGAAUCUUUGAACGCACCUUGCACUCCUUGGUAUUCCGAGGAGUACGCCUGUUCGAGUGUUAUGAAGCUCUCAAAACGCAAUUGGCUUAAAACCUGAUUGUUGUUUUGGAUUUGAACUUUGCCGUGUUAUAACGGCUGGUUUUAAAAGUAUUAGCUGGUACUAGAACGAAUUGGUUCUACUCAACGUGAUAAUUAUCUGAUCGUUGAGGACAUUCCUUUCACGAGGAAUGGCCAUAGUAAAUUCAAUGGACUGCUUCUAAUCUGGCUUUAAUUCUUUAUUGGAUUAACCACUUUUCAAAUCUGACCUCGAAUCAGGUGGGACUACCCGCUGAACUUAAGCAUAUCAAUAAGCGGAGGA
Molecule: unclassified non-coding RNA, 416 nt
Filed under: soil metagenome
Description: partial contains 5.8S ribosomal RNA, internal transcribed spacer 2, and large subunit ribosomal RNA
Rfam family: 5.8S ribosomal RNA (bases 1-120)
Source: RNAcentral